UACGUAGGGGGCAAGCGUUGUCCGGAAUCAUUGGGCGUAAAGAGCGUGUAGGCGGCCCGAUAAGUCCGCUGUGAAAGUCCAGGGCUCAACCCUGGGAUGCCGGUGGAUACUGUCGGGCUCGAGUCCGGAAGAGGAGUGUGGAAUUCCUGGUGUAGCGGUGAAAUGCGCAGAUAUCAGGAGGAACACCAAGGGCGAAGGCAGCACUCGGGGACGUGACUGACGCUGAGACGCGAAAGCGUGGGGAGCAAACAGG
Molecule: ribosomal RNA, 253 nt
Filed under: uncultured bacterium
Lineage: Bacteria
Description: partial 16S ribosomal RNA
Rfam family: Bacterial small subunit ribosomal RNA
Source: RNAcentral